UGCCUCUGUCUACUUCCAUAAAUCCAUCAAAUUUCCUUCAUGCAUUUCUAUUUAGAAUGCGAAUGAAUAUGCUCCUCAUGAGUUCGGAUCCUCUGUAUGGUGCAACUUUUGCACGACAAAGUCCUAUGCUAUAGCAGAUAGCCACUGCAUCAUUUAUCUUGGAAAUGAACGGCUUUCAUUCAUUCCUGAAAUAUGAUGAUAUACC
This 205-nucleotide long non-coding RNA is filed under the name Elaeis guineensis (African oil palm). RNAcentral describes it as "long non-coding RNA (EGUI_LNC016436)". The record is from RNAcentral. Lineage: Eukaryota; Viridiplantae; Streptophyta; Magnoliopsida; Arecales; Arecaceae.